AUUGAACGCUGGCGGCAGGCCUAACACAUGCAAGUCGAGCGAGCGGCGGACGGGUGAGUAAUGUAUGGGGACUGCUCGAUAGAGGGGGAUAACUACUGGAAACGGUAGCUACUACUGCAUACUAUCGGAUAACCCCUAGUGGAUUGGCUAGUGGGUGGGGUAAUGGCUCACCUAGGCGACGAUCCCUAGCUGGUCUGAGAGGAUGAUCAGUCACGCUGGAACUGAGACACGGCCCAGACUCCUACGGAGGCAGCAGGGGGGAAUAUUGGACAAUGAGCGCAAGCCUGAUGCAGCCAUGCCGCGUGUAUGAAGAGGGCCCUAGGGUUGUAAAGUACGUUCAGUCGGGAGGCGUUACCGACAGAAGAAGCACCGGCUAACUCCGUGCCAGCAGCCGCGGUAAUUC
This 403-nucleotide ribosomal RNA is filed under the name uncultured bacterium. Its description in RNAcentral is "partial 16S ribosomal RNA". It matches the Rfam family "Bacterial small subunit ribosomal RNA", at positions 30 to 526 of the family's 1533-position model. The record is from RNAcentral.